This 209-nucleotide long non-coding RNA is filed under the name Gossypium raimondii (Peruvian cotton). RNAcentral describes it as "long non-coding RNA (GRAI_LNC005379)". The record is from RNAcentral. Lineage: Eukaryota; Viridiplantae; Streptophyta; Magnoliopsida; Malvales; Malvaceae.
AGGAAUCGCUCCAAUGUCCAUUGCUCCCUAUCGCAUGGCAUUUAAAGAGCUUUAAAAAUUGAAAAUCCAACUUCAAGAGCUUCUAGAUUGUGGGUUUAUUAAACCUAGUGUUUCUCUAUGAGGAGCUUCGGUCUUGUUUGUGAAAAAAAAAGAUGGCUCCCUAUAAUUGUACAUAGAUUAUUAGCAGUUGAAUAAACUGGCCGUCAAAA